UACGGAGGGUGCAAGCGUUAAUCGGAAUUACUGGGCGUAAAGCGCACGCAGGUGGCUGAGUCAGUCGAUUGUGAAAGCCCUGGGCUUAACCUGGGAAUUGCAGUCGAUACUACUCAGCUAGAGUAUGGGAGAGGGCAGUGGAAUUCCCGGUGUAGCGGUGAAAUGCGUAGAUAUCGGGAGGAACAUCAGUGGCGAAGGCGGCUGCCUGGCCCAAUACCGACACUCAGGUGCGACAGCGUGGGGAGCAAACAGG
This 253-nucleotide ribosomal RNA is filed under the name uncultured bacterium. RNAcentral describes it as "partial 16S ribosomal RNA". It matches the Rfam family "Bacterial small subunit ribosomal RNA", at positions 524 to 776 of the family's 1533-position model. The record is from RNAcentral.